GAAACAGUUGCAGUGAUUUGUAAAGUGUGAUUAAACCUCGACUAUUGAAAACUAUACCCUUGUGUCCUGUGAAAACGUCGACGUAUAGGUUAGGUUCAUCAAAACAUUUGAGAAUCUCAGGAAUACAGACUUAGUGCGUUGAUAUCUAGUGUUUCUUGAGGAGAUCUUGGAAGAUAUUUCUCUGAUAGUCACUCGAAAGAUAACUAGCUCUAGUACAUGUUACAUACACCUGUGGUAUUCAAUAUUUCAUAAGUGAUAUACACCAUCCAAAGCUACCUGUUUCCUAGUUGAAUUUCAUUGAAAGAUACAUAUAUCAAACAGCGGUAUUUGAGUUAAAAAUUGGUGUCACAGAGAAAUAAAUUGUUGGAGCUCUCAGUGUUUGUCUCUGAGUGAACUACAACUGUAAUCUUUCAGUCUUGAAACUACUUGGUGCUAAAAAUAAGAAAAUUGUAGAGAGGUGUGAAAUCGAGUGUUUACCACAUGCUUAAUCCUCAACACCGUAAGAUGUUGAUGUUUUCUUCGUGUGACGGAAGAAUCUUGAAGCGGUCAUGUAGAUCGUAGGGUUUCCCUCACUGAAGAUCUAUUUCCUAUGCACCGUCUGUUGUUUUCAUCCUGUUAGGACAGACUAAUUGUGUUUAGGUGGCAUUUAAAUCGAGUUUGCAACGACUCCACCCUCUUUUAACACGUGAUAAUUAUGUGGUGACGUUUGGGGCUUCAGAAAUAGCCCCUAGGGGACGAAUCAGUCUCGAAUGGUAACCCAGCCGGGUAGUACCCUCUCGAACCUCAACCUAGGUAGACCUAGCCCUAUGUCACGGGUUAGGUGACAUCUAGUUAAACUCCCCUAGUGUCGCACCCGGAUUCUAGAAACUCUACUCGACGUUUUAUCGGGUUUUCAAUUUGUGAAAAUUACGAGAACCUGAUUAGGCGGCCGAACUACUAAAGCAAUGAUAAGUGUAACUAUUCCAUCCUUUGAAUCAGGUGUUAUUUUAGUUGUCUAAGACCACUGCCCAAGUUUUUUUCUAAGCAAUACCUAGUUUACCUAAUAAAAAGCUGUGAUUGAGCUAUCGAAGAGUGUAAAGUGAAUAAUUCAAUAAUAUUCCAUCGAUAACAUUGGUGUUACAUAACAGUAUCACGAGUUAUCUUGAAAUUACCAAUCGACAAUAACAAAUUUCACUGUUCAGUGAAAUAAAAACAAACUUUGAUGCUGUAAAUUGAUCUCCAAAAUAUUUUCCGUGAAACGUCAUCUACAGAAAUCCAUCGAAGUUGGGUUACUAAUAUUAUCGCAAUAUACCAUUAAAGUGAAUAUCUCCAAUUUUUAACUCAACAACUAUUCCACUCGAUCUCAGAGAAUAUUAAUAGAGAGACUUCACUAGGAAUAAUAACAUAGAGUGAGUCUUACACUAUUCUAAGAAGAUUUCACCAAAAAUCUUGACAAAAGUUGAAAUUACCCUUGUAAGUCUUACAUUUGAAAAUAAAUCUACAUACCUACAACUAUCAACAACACUAUAAUAUAAUUUAUGAAUUAUCAACAAUAUUCUCCAAAUCAAGUCAGUUUGGUGACAAUACCUUCUAGUUCGAAUCACAAGGUUUGUGAGAGCAUUUGAAAUCGAGUCACUAAUAUUCUGAAGAUAUUUAUUGGAAUCUGUGACGAUAUUCGAAACCAAGUCACUAUUUUUUGGGGAAAUUGUAACUUGUUCAGUUGAAUUUGAAUUUGGCGCCAAAAUGGUACCGAGACUAGUGUUGGCCGCCGGUCAGCUGAUGCUGGCUACGCUAUCAGUUGCCAUGGCAACGACGACUGACUCCUGUUCGACAGACUGGAUCCGACAGUCGCUGGACAACGGCGAGACCAGUGUAGCGGCCGACAGCUACACGACCGCCUUCAUCAACGUCACGUUCCGGGACCCGUCUACGGGCCGCUGGCACUCGGAGACCGACGAGAUCGGCAAGUUCGGCGGCUAUCACGUGGGUCCCGCGGCGGGAGUGCUAGUCCACGUGAUUGACGCGGGCGGAGAGCUGAAUACCGCGUGUACGCUGCCGCUGAGACGCGGUCCCGCGCCUGGCUUCAACAUCCCCGCCGAGCCGUGGAUCGCCCUCGUGAAGCGCGGCGGAUGCAACUUCCAGGUGAAGGUCGACCAUGCCCUCAGGUACAACGCGUCGGGGGUGAUCGUCUACAACGACCGCGACAAGGCCUCGCUGGAGAAAAUGAAGCUGGCGCCCAAUGGAAACCAUAACAUCAGUGCAGUUUUCACGUAUAAAUGGGUCGGCGAAGAGUUAGUAAGACUAAUGGAGAAUGGUACCAGAGUCUACGCUCAUAUCUCCAUCGCCAGCCGGUGUACAAAACCUUUCAACUCAAUUAACAGCUUAUCUUCUUUCGGGAACCCUGGACCAAUGAUAAUCGCUCUCUGCGGUACCAAGAUGCCUCUCCACAAAUGUGCUAUGUUGACGUCUGUGAUGCUAGUCAGCAUUUCGUUCAUAGUGCUGAUGAUCAUCUCAAUGUGCUGGUUGGUGUUCUACUAUGUGCAGAGGUUUAGAUACAUUCAUGCCAAAGAUAGACUAUCGCGGAGACUCUGUACUGCAGCGAAGAAAGCUUUGUCCAAAAUCCCAACAAAGCACAUAAAAUCUGAAGAUAAGGAAAUACAGGGGGAGGGAGAGUGCUGUGCCAUCUGUAUAGAGCCUUACAAAACAUCAGAAGUCGUAAGGAUAUUACCUUGCAAGCAUGAGUUCCAUAGAUCGUGUAUAGAUCCAUGGCUGUUGGAGCAUAGGACUUGUCCUAUGUGCAAGAUGGAUAUUCUCAAGCACUAUGGCUUUGUUUUCACAGGCAGCCAGGAGAGCAUCCUUUUAAUAUGUUGCGAUUGUUGUCUCAGUUCACAGGCAGCCAGGAGAGCAUCCUUCACAUGGACAUAGAGGAGGCGGUGAGUGACUCAGAGAGCAUGCACCAGCGCAGCCUGAGCAGCCCAGUGCCCCACUUGCUGCAGGGCGGCCUCACUGUUGCCCUCGGGCCACGCUCGCUCACGCCAGACCUGCUCAGUCACGUCAGUCGUGCAUCCACGCCCGACGAGUAUUCGCCUGCGCUGCCUGGGCCCAGUUAUGAAUUCCCCACUGAAAACCAGGCAUGUCUACCAGAGAGCGGCAUGCACCUGACUACCAGCAAGAGCGAGUUUCUACCACCAAAACCUAACUCACAGAUCCGGCGAUCGAUUUCUUUGGACAACUGCGAUUUGCCUGCUGCCAACAACGGCCAAUAACAUCAGAUUGAAAGGCACAGGAGGUUUAUUCGAAAAUUCUUCUCCGGCCUUCAACCGCUCCCAACCUCUGAGCAAACCUUGCGGAAUAGUCAGACGUAUUUCUUCUGAAACACAACCGUGGAAAUUGUAACGGUUUGUGGAUAGUCAACGACAUCUCAAACUCAACAGUUUGUGGAUGAUCAAUGACAUUUCGCCUGCUCAAUAACUAUAUUAUCAGCAAUAUGUAGAGUGUGUUUUGCUCAACUCAAUAAACAGUAAUCAAGCCUCUUGUUGAGAAUCAUUAACAUAUAUGGAAUUUGUUGGUGGAGAACACAAAAGUUGUUCCACCUUGCCAUAAGAAGUGUGAAGAAUGAAACUGAGGGUUAGGUUGGGUAAUUUGUUGAAAAUGAUUGGUUAAUUUAUUAUACCAUCCUCAUUUUCAUCGAGGAGUGGUUGAGCUUAUUCCUACCUCAUUGGCGAAUUUCAUGCUCCGUUUGACCAGGACCUCUAAUAUACUACCAAAUAUAAAGGAAGUCCUAGUUUGACCCAACCAAUUGCAUUGAGCAUGCUUUUUGAGGUCAGGUUGGGUUAGGGCAGUCCGAUCUGUUGUGAUUUGAAUAUAGCAGGUUGAAGCUCCACUCCUAUUUCGUGAGAUUGAAAUAACCCGGCACUUUCAUAAGCUUAUUCCCAUUUUUGAGGAAAGUUACCUGUGAGAGGGUACAGUACUUUAUCCUGAACCAUUUACUGGGAAUGCAACUUAAGUUUCGGGGCUAGCUCACUCCAAAUAGUUAAAAAUUCUGAAUGAAAUUUGAAAGUUGAGAGUUCUGGAAGUUGAGAAUUCUGCUGUGAGCCUCAUUUUGAGAAUUCUGCAGUGAGCUAUUUGUAAAGAAUGCAUUGAGACUGCAGCAUAACAGUUGAAAUGGCAACUACUUGUUGAUUGAAAUACAACUCUUAGUUGCUCAUGUUUAGUCAUCAGAAAUUGUGAUAUUUAUAAUAAUAACGAUAGCCGUACUACUAGGUAAGAUUCGCAAAUGAAAUUUUAUUUGUUCUGAUUGUAUUAUUUUGACUCCAGUUUGUUCAAUUUGUACAUAAACUUUCAUUUUAGUUUAAUAUCGUAGUCGUUUAUAUUUAUGAUUUCAGUUGAACAAAUUCUAAAAACAAAUGUGACAUUUCAGGUGAAAAUGUUUUCCAGUAAAAAUUGGUAGACAUGAUUUGGAAAUGUGUACAGAAAAAUAAUCAUUGUACGUUGUAUGAAUCCGAUUUACACGUCCUAAUUAAUUUAAUAAUAUUAGGCUUUAAAAUAUUCAAUGAGUUUAAUUAUUUUAAAUUUAAGUUGAAAGUGUGAUUAGUUACAGUAUUGUAGCUUUAUUUUUUAUACCUGCCUUGAGUCGAUUAUAUAUUGUAUAAUUGUAUAAGUUUUGUUGAUAUAUGCUUGCAAAAUGAUGUUUUGAUUAGAAUGUUUCUCAUUCUUGUCACUAGUUAAAUUAAUAUAUUCAAAAGCUUUAAUCAUCAAAUGACGAUAAUUUUAAGUAUACAAUUAUGGAGAAAUUGAUAAUGAAUGAGAGUCUGAAUCUGAUAGCUGAAAUACAAUUCAAGAUUGCUCAAGAAACUGAAGGGAGUUCAUUUAUUGGAAAUUAUAUCAAAUUAAUGCAAUUUUUACACCUCACUUAAGUUUUUGAAAAUGCAAUAGUUACAAUAAUGAUAUUAUAAAAAUGAUUGGUAAUUUUGAAUAGUACCGUACCUAUUCAUUCGAUUUAUCAAUACACUUGAUACUGAUUGAUAAAACAUUAAAAAAACAAUAUACAGUAUAGAAAGUAAAAGAAUAAGAAUGACAAUUAUUUGAGCAGUUCAGUUGAAAUCAGACUCAGUUUCAGUUGGUACUUAUACAUUGAACACCUAUAAAAAUAUUUUCAAAUUCCUUUUUAUUGGGCAAAUAAUGUGCCUUUUCAAUAGUUACCAAUUAUCAAUUGUCUUUCUAUUUUUUAAUCCAUACAUUAUUAUCUAUAAAAAGUUUACCGGAGGUUCUAAGAUUAGUUAUUGAAUUCUUCAUCCAUAGGUGCAGAUUCUUUUCGAGCAAUAUUUUCUUUCUAUAAAAUUAUAAUAUGAAUAUCUUCUGUUCUAUGUGAACAUCUCCGUAUGUAAUAGCUCUCAUCCAAUUAUUGUAAUAAUUCUAGUAAUAAUUAUUAUUAAAAACAAUACUUCUCAUGUACAGUAAUCAAAAAUAUGAAUUUUCAAAUUUUUCAAAGAGUAGAUAACAAAUUUCUUCAGUAAUAAUUGUGAACUUUGAAUCCUAUGGAGACUCCAAAAUACUUUUUUCAAAGAGACAGCUUUAUAUUUUGCAUGCUGAUGCCAAUGUUUAAAAUAAUAUUGUAUAUUUAUUUUUGUGUACUUGGAAGCUUAAUAAUUAUUAUAUCCGAAAUAAAGUGCCUCAGAAAAAUGUUGCUGGAAAAUAAUAAAAUACGUAUACCGGUAUUCAGUGCUGGAGAAUACACUGAGUUUAUGGAGAUUGUUUAGGGUCCUAUAAAUAUAUUAGUCACUUGUGACUUCCAUUUUAUAACAUAAUCUUUGGGUAAUAAUUGCAUGUUAUUAUUGAUGAAGCAAUGUCUACAAUGAUAAUUAUUAUCUUACCAAUUUCUAAUUAAUAUUUGAACAAAAAGCGGUACUUGUAUGAUAUUGAACAGUAUUUAUAAAUUGAGUAAAACUUUAAUAAUGCAAUAUUAUACCGAAGCAUGGCUGCUGAAUUUAGUGUUGAUAAAUACACUAUAGUAUAGAUGAAACUAGUGUUUCGACAGUAUAGUCUUUCAUGACUCAUGUUGUAAGUUUUUCAAAUAUUAAAUCGGGAAGUUUACUCAAAAGGUUUUUGAUCUUCUGUACUGUACAAUAAGUUCUGGAAUAAUAAUAACAAUUUUCAACUAAGAUAAAUCCAUCUGCUCAUUGAAAUUAAGGCUAAAGAUCCUCGUAAUUCUUUAUGAUAAAAGUUUAAAAUUCAUCAACAGAUAGGAAAUGUGAAAAAUUCCAUUUUUUUAAUCCUAGGAAUGUUAUUCUAUUAAAAUCAAUCGCAAAGCAAGAAAUACGAUAAGCCACUCAAUAGUACUGUAAUAAUUAUUAAAAAUGUCCAUGUUUUAGAACUCUGUAUCACAAUUUGUCUUAUUAUUUAAGCAAUUAUUAGUAUUUGACACUGCCUUGAAAUUCUGUUCUCAUGGAAUCUAUGGGAAAGAGAUCAAUUGCUUAGGGUGAAGACUUCAGAGUUUUCUUCGUGAGCCCAUGUUCAAUUU
This 6499-nucleotide unclassified non-coding RNA is filed under the name Nilaparvata lugens (brown planthopper). RNAcentral describes it as "protein goliath-like, transcript variant X4". The record is from RNAcentral. Lineage: Eukaryota; Metazoa; Arthropoda; Insecta; Hemiptera; Delphacidae.